GGCGAACGCUGGCGGCGUGCUUAACACAUGCAAGUCGAACGGAAAGGCCCUGCUUUUGUGGGGUGCUCGAGUGGCGAACGGGUGAGUAACACGUGAGUAACCUGCCCUUGACUUUGGGAUAACUUCAGGAAACUGGGGCUAAUACCGGAUAGGAGCUCCUGCUGCAUGGUGGGGGUUGGAAAGUUUCGGCGGUUGGGGAUGGACUCGCGGCUUAUCAGCUUGUUGGUGGGGUAGUGGCUUACCAAGGCUUUGACGGGUAGCCGGCCUGAGAGGGUGACCGGCCACAUUGGGACUGAGAUACGGCCCAGACUCCUACGGGAGGCAGCAGUGGGGAAUAUUGCACAAUGGGCGGAAGCCUGAUGCAGCAACGCCGCGUGCGGGAGGACGGCCUUCGGGUUGUAAACCGCUUUCGCCUGUGACGAAGCGUGAGUGACGGUAAUGGGUAAAGAAGCACCGGCUAACUACGU
RNAcentral lists this ribosomal RNA (467 nucleotides) under uncultured bacterium. Its description in RNAcentral is "partial 16S ribosomal RNA". It matches the Rfam family "Bacterial small subunit ribosomal RNA", at positions 28 to 506 of the family's 1533-position model. The record is from RNAcentral.